CUCAGUAACACGUGGACAAUCUGCCCUAAGGUGGGGAAUAAUCUCGGGAAACUGAGCAUAAUUCCCCAUAGCUCAUGAAUGCUGGAAUGCUUCAUGUUCGAAAGCUCCGGCGCCUUAGGAUGAGUCUGCGGCCUAUCAGGUUGUAGUGGGUGUAACGGACCCACUAGCCAGUGACGGGUAUGGGCGUUGGGAGACGUCGCCCAGAGAUGGAUUCUGAGACACGAAUCCAGGCCCUACGGGGCGCAGCAGUCGCGAAAACUUGGCAAUGCGGGCAACCGCGACCAGGGGAUUCCAAGUGCAUGCACAAUGUGUAUGCUGUUCCAUUGUCUUAAAAACAUAGGAAGUAAGAGCUGGGUAAGACAGGUGCCAGCCGCCGCGGUAAUACCUGCAGCUCGAGUGGUGGCCGAUAUUAUUGAGCCUAAAGCGUCCGUAGCCGGUCUAGUAAAUUCUUGGGUAAAUUGGGUAGCUUAACUAUCCGAAUUCCGAGGAGACUGCUAGACUUGGGACUGGGAGAGGUCAGAGGUACUCCAGGGGUAGGGGCUAAAUCCUGUAAUCCUUGGAGGACCACCAGUGGCGAAGGCGUCUGACUAGAACGGAUCCGACGGUAAGGGACGAAACCCUGGGUCGCAAACCGGAUUAGAUACCCGGGUAGUCCAGGGCGUAAACGCUGCAGGCUUGGUGUUGGGGAUCCUACGAGGGUGCCCAGUGCCGGAGUGAAGAUGUUAAGCCUGCCGCUUGGGGAGUACGUCCGCAAGGAUGAAACUAAAG
RNAcentral lists this ribosomal RNA (768 nucleotides) under uncultured archaeon. RNAcentral describes it as "bacterial SSU rRNA". It matches the Rfam family "Archaeal small subunit ribosomal RNA", at positions 89 to 861 of the family's 1478-position model. The record is from RNAcentral.